Molecule: long non-coding RNA, 191 nt
Organism: Lontra canadensis (Northern American river otter)
Lineage: Eukaryota; Metazoa; Chordata; Mammalia; Carnivora; Mustelidae
Exons: 3
Source: RefSeq, a predicted model, not a curated record
CAUGAACCAGGACCUGGAGAUCCUGAUGGCCUUGGAACGGGCCCACAUCCUAGCCAGUUACACCCAGGCACGCCCAGCGGGGUCUCCAGGGGCCGCCCGGGAAGAGGCUGACCUCUCGCUGUGCAGGCUCACGGACCAUCACGGCUUCCUGCACAACAUCGCCAGGAGACCCGCAGGGCCGACAAGUGGGC